This 354-nucleotide RNase P RNA is filed under the name Pseudorhodoferax sp. Leaf267. Its description in RNAcentral is "Bacterial RNase P class A". It matches the Rfam family "Bacterial RNase P class A". From Rfam's summary of the family: Ribonuclease P (RNase P) is a ubiquitous endoribonuclease, found in archaea, bacteria and eukarya as well as chloroplasts and mitochondria. Its best characterised activity is the generation of mature 5'-ends of tRNAs by cleaving the 5'-leader elements of precursor-tRNAs. The record is from Rfam by way of RNAcentral. Lineage: Bacteria; Pseudomonadati; Pseudomonadota; Betaproteobacteria; Burkholderiales; Comamonadaceae.
GAAGCCCGCCAGGCCGUCGCUGGUGCAAUCUGAGAAGACGACGCUUGCGUCGGGCCGAAAGGCCGCACUGGAGGAACGUCCGGACUGCACAGGGCAGCGUAGGAGCUAACGGCUCUCCACCGCGAGGUGAGGAUCAGAGCAACAGAGACGAGUCGGUGCCAGGGCAACCUGGCAUCGGGUGAAACGGGCAAUCUCUACGCGCAGCAAUACCAAAUAGGCCAGCGUUGAUGUGGCUCCGCGGAGCUGGCGGGUAGGUAGCACCGAGCCGCUUGGUGACAAGCGGCCCAGAGGAAUGGCGGUCACACCGGGGGCGACCCCGGUGCACAGAAUCCGGCGUAUCGGCGGGCUUCACAC